AUACGGAGGAUCCGAGCGUUAUCCGGAUUUAUUGGGUUUAAAGGGAGCGUAGGCGGACUAUUAAGUCAGCUGUGAAAGUUUGCGGCUCAACCGUAAAAUUGCAGUUGAUACUGGUCGUCUUGAGUGCAGUAGAGGUAGGCGGAAUUCGUGGUGUAGUGGUGAAAUGCUUAGAUAUCACGAAGAACUCCGAUUGCGAAGGCAGCUUACUGGACUGUAACUGACGCUGAUGCUCGAAAGUGUGGGUAUCAAACAGGAUUAGAUACCCUGGUAGUCCACACAGUAAACGAUGAAUACUCGCUGUUUGCGAUAUACGGCAAGCGGCCAAGCGAAAGCAUUAAGUAUUCCACCUGGGGAGUACGCCGGCAACGGUGAAACUUAAAGGAAUUGACGGGG
This 393-nucleotide ribosomal RNA is filed under the name uncultured bacterium. Its description in RNAcentral is "partial 16S ribosomal RNA". It matches the Rfam family "Bacterial small subunit ribosomal RNA", at positions 523 to 918 of the family's 1533-position model. The record is from RNAcentral.